Long non-coding RNA from Spinacia oleracea (spinach), 631 nucleotides. RefSeq lists it as uncharacterized. The transcript is spliced from 2 exons. The record is from RefSeq and is a predicted model, not a curated record. NCBI's taxonomy places the organism in Eukaryota, Viridiplantae, Streptophyta, Magnoliopsida, Caryophyllales, Amaranthaceae.
CAAAUUAUGUACAUUCAUUUUUGAACCAACCAAUUUCCUAUUUAUUUGCUAAACUAUCUUCCAAACAAACAAGCAAAGCAGUUAAUUACUAUACGAAAAUGGCAUCUCACUCGAUUAAAUAUUUGAAGCCAAUCAUCUUCGGAUUACUGCUAAUCCUAAUGGCAUCAGAAAUGGCUUUAGGGCAAUCAUGCACCCUGAGAGGUUAUGGGUGUAGUACUAAUAGUGACUGUUGCGAAGGGUACGAAUGUCAUAUUGGAAGAUUGAAUGUGCCAGGCAUCACCCCAACUCAGCCUGCUUUGUGUUGUGAAAGUUAUUUUGGGGGUUUAUGGUAUGAUUGCAACAACUAACCCUCCAAACGCCUACUCCGGCCGGUGUUCAACAUUCCGGCAGCUGGCUCAAGGCACCAUGGCCGGUUCUCCACACUCCAGCGGCAUCCAAUAAAAUUAUGGUUUCAGAUUGAAUAAUAAUGUUAUGUUUCCUCUUCUUUCAUGUCAUUCGUUCUUUGUGAAUUAUUGUUAUAUAUCUACUUGCUAGUGUGUUUAAUUUCCAUGUAUUUUCAGUCAAUAUUAUGUGUUUUGGAAUAAUGGAUUUGAUGUGUAAUAUAAUGUUCGAAUUUCUAUUCCACCUAUAA